Molecule: long non-coding RNA, 605 nt
Filed under: Nicotiana benthamiana
Lineage: Eukaryota; Viridiplantae; Streptophyta; Magnoliopsida; Solanales; Solanaceae
Description: long non-coding RNA (NBEN_LNC028410)
Source: RNAcentral
AUAAACACACCAAGGAUUCAAAAGUAGUUGACCCUUUUAGCAGUAACAAAAUCUAAAGGAUCGAAUACAUGGAGAUCAGCAAUUCUAAUAAUAACACUAUUACAAUUCCAAUGCAGAACUUAGAAGACAUAACUUCUUAUUAAACAUGCUGAGCUAAAGGAAUUAACAUAAUCAUUUGAGAAGUAAACUAAAUAAGAAGAAAAUCUAACAUAUAACAAAGGAGAACAUGAUCUUCAUAUAUCUCCAUCACAAACACUUCACAAGUUAUUUUUACAUGCCUAAAGUCAAAAGUGUAUAUCUGGAGAGUAAAACAAAGAAGAAAAAAUGAGAGAUCAGUGGAGUAAAAAUAGCAAUAAACACCAGCAAUAACAUAGGCUCAGAUAUAGAAAAUUGAACUCGCACAUCAGUUAUAAAUCCAAUAGAACAAUGAUUUCAACAUCGCUUGAUCCACAACUUUCCAAAAGUCAACAUCAAACCAUUUUCAAUCUACGUGGGUCAGAAAACUGUUUUGAGAAAUUCAAAGAGAUCUCAAAGUUCAAGGCAAAACUUAAUGAAACGGUAAUUUUUUGAUAUUUUCAGCCGUUUGAAGUUUUUCUUUAUUUUUU